CAUCCCUCUGCUCUGAACUUGUGCCAAAACCUUCUUCACCUGUGAAGCCACCUCUGCCCGGUGCUCUACCUGAAUCUGAAGUCCCCCAGAUGCCACAAAAGACAAUCCUAUAUCCAAGGCCAACCACCCAAUGCUGUCUUGCUAGGUCUACUGCUGCACCUUGAUCACCAUCGCUGUCCUUUCGGAUCCUCCACACUUCGUGGAUCCUUCUGAAGUCAUUUUGGAUCCUCCACACCCUGCGGGUUUCUCUGAAACCAACAAGAGCUCAUCCGACUUUUUUGAUUUAGUGAUUGAACCUAUGGAAUCUGAGCCUUUACUUUCUCCUCCCUUCUUCUUAAGUAGACACUGCUGCUUAAAAUGCCCUAUUAC
Molecule: long non-coding RNA, 369 nt
Filed under: Elaeis guineensis (African oil palm)
Lineage: Eukaryota; Viridiplantae; Streptophyta; Magnoliopsida; Arecales; Arecaceae
Description: long non-coding RNA (EGUI_LNC024085)
Source: RNAcentral